UACGGAGGGUGCGAGCGUUAAUCGGAAUUACUGGGCGUAAAGCGUGCGUAGGCGGCUCGCUAAGUCAGAUGUGAAAGCCCUGGGCUCAACCUGGGAACGGCAUUUGAAACUGGCGAGCUAGAGUUUGGGAGAGGAGAGUGGAAUUUCAGGUGUAGCGGUGUAAUGCGUAGAGAUCUGAAGGAACACCAGUGGCGAAAGCACUUUACUGGGCUAUUACUAACACUCAGAGACGAAAGCUAGGGUAGCAAAUGGG
This 253-nucleotide ribosomal RNA is filed under the name uncultured archaeon. RNAcentral describes it as "partial 16S ribosomal RNA". It matches the Rfam family "Bacterial small subunit ribosomal RNA", at positions 524 to 776 of the family's 1533-position model. The record is from RNAcentral.